AAGGGCUGGCUGCUGCUGGGGAAGGAUCUCUGCUGUGAUUUGUGACUUCUGUUGUCAUUGUUCCACAUCAGAGCAUCGUGUAAAGUGUGUUAAAGAGUUCCUGUUCUGGUCCUUGAAUGCCCUUAUGGGUAUUUUGGGCUCUCAGACAGGAGGAGAGGAGCGACGUUCCUGGAGGACCUGGAGUGCAGAGGAAAGAAGGUGGAAUUCCCAGCUGGACCAAAGCAGCGAAAAAGAGAUGAUUCUGUGAUUCUCUUUCUGGAGGUCUUUCUCCUUGGAGUUUUCUUCUACAAGCCUAGGACCCGGAGCGCCGCAGGGACGCCUCUGCAGGAAGCACUGCAGGCUGUUAAAGCCCGCCGCUGCUGCUAUGGCAGAAGACCUUCUGAUCAGAAGACCUGCAGAUCCAAGGGACUUCAUGGUCGGAGAGGAGGAGCUCCAUACAACCCAGUUCAAAGUAGCCUUUUGGUUUUCAGAUGCUGUCCCUCUCAUCUCAUCCAAAAAAUAAGACAUUUUCUCCCAGAAAUACCAGUUUUCUUUCAAAAAAUGUGGAAUAUUAGCUUUCAAGGAGGAAAUGUCGUAUUUUUGGGGUGAAAACUGGUAUUUGUGGGAGGUAAUAUCCUAUAUUUGGGAGAAAAGUGUUAUUUUAGGGGAGAAAACUUCAUAAUUCUCAGAGAAUGUAUCAUAUUUUGGGGAGGAAAGUGGAAUUUCUGGGUGAAAGUGUCCUAUCUGGGGGGAAUUUCCCUUAUGUCCUGGUAGAAAAUGACACCCAGAGCCACCAAUUUCCCUUCAGUUCCCCCCUGUGCUUCUCAGUGGGGUCACCCACUGUUACUGGGGUUCCAUGGGGUCACAUCAUUGCGAAUAUGGGGGUCAGCCCACUUCCAUUAUGGGGGUCCCAAAGGUGCCAUUAUUGGGGUCCCAGGGGGGUUCUCCUCUUUCCAUCACUGGGGUCCCGUCGCUGUCGCCCCACUGCUGCCGUUGGGUGAGAAAAGUCCCCAAAAAACGGGAAUUUAAAGAAAAAAGCAGAACCCAAACCCACGCGUUUGGGGGAUGAGGUCACGUGGU
Molecule: long non-coding RNA, 1059 nt
Organism: Lagopus leucura (white-tailed ptarmigan)
Lineage: Eukaryota; Metazoa; Chordata; Aves; Galliformes; Phasianidae
Exons: 3
Source: RefSeq, a predicted model, not a curated record